GAAUUUUUGACAACGGGCGAAAGCCUGAUCCAGCAAUGCCGCGUGCAGGAUGAAGGCCUUCGGGUUGUAAACUGCCUUUGUACGGAACGAAAAGCUUUUGGGUAAUACCCUGGAGCCAUGACGGUACCGCAAGAACAAGCACCGGCUAACCACGUGCCAGCAGCCGCGGUAAAACGUAGGGUGCAAGCGUUAAUCGGAAUUACUGGGCGUAAAGCGUGCGCAGGCGGUUUUGUAAGACAGAGGUGAAAUCCCCGGGCUCAGCCUGGGAACUGCCUUUGUGACUGCAAGGCUAGAGUACGGCAGAGGGGGGUGGAAUUCCGCGUGUAGCAGUGAAAUGCGUAGAUAUGCGGAGGAACACCGAUGGCGAAGGCAACCCCCUGGGCCUGUACUGACGCUCAUGCACGAAAGCGUGGGGAGCAAAC
RNAcentral lists this ribosomal RNA (422 nucleotides) under uncultured bacterium. RNAcentral's name for it is "partial 16S ribosomal RNA". It matches the Rfam family "Bacterial small subunit ribosomal RNA", at positions 359 to 773 of the family's 1533-position model. The record is from RNAcentral.